CUUAGAGGUUAAGCCCGAUGAACCUGAAUAUCCAUUAUGAAAAAUUCAUCAUUAUGCCUAUGAUAUUUAUUAUUAAUAUUUAUAGUAAUAGUGUGCAUUUUUUUCAUAUAAGGACAUUGUAAUCUAUUAACAUAAAAAAAUAUUUAUCAAAAGAUCAUUUGCUUUAGUUUAUUCGAAUUAGUUUGCUUUUAGCUUAUUAACAUAGAAUAAAUGCUUAUGAUUUGAUAAAGUGUUGAUAGAUUUAUUAUAUAUAAUGCUAAAAUUUUGCAAAAAAUUUUACAAUAACAUUAUUAUCAUUGAUU
This 302-nucleotide ribosomal RNA is filed under the name Themara maculipennis. RNAcentral describes it as "partial 28S ribosomal RNA". Lineage: Eukaryota; Metazoa; Arthropoda; Insecta; Diptera; Tephritidae. The record is from RNAcentral.